GUAGCAAUACGUUUGUAAAGCGGCGAACGGGUGAGGAAUACAUGGGUAACCUACCCUCGAGUGGGGAAUAACUAGCCGAAAGGUUAGCUAAUACCGCGUACGCUUCUUGGACUUCGGUUCAGGGAGGAAAGCGAUGCCGAGGGUAUCGCGCUCUUGGAUGGGCUCAUGUCCUAUCAGCUUGUUGGUGAGGUAACGGCUCACCAAGGCUUCGACGGGUAGCUGGUCUGAGAGGACGAUCAGCCACACUGGCACUGCGACACGGGCCAGACUCCUACGGGAGGCAGCAGUAAGGAAUAUUGCGCAAUGGGCGAAAGCCUGACGCAGCGACGCCGCGUGGGGGAUGAAGGUCUUCGGAUUGUAAACCCCUUUCGGGAGGGAAGAUGGAAUGGGGUAACCCAUUCGGACGGUACCUCCAGAAGCAGCCACGGCUAACUUCGUGCCAGCAGCCGCGGUAAUACGAAGGUGGCAAGCGUUAUUCGGAUUUACUGGGCGUACAGGGAGCGUAGGCGGUUCGGUAAGCCCUCUGUGAAAUCUCCAGGCUUAACCUGGAACAGUCGGAGGGGACUGCUGGGCUAGAGGACGGGAGAGGAGCGCGGAAUUCCCGGUGUAGCGGUGAAAUGCGUAGAGAUCGGGAGGAAGGCCGGUGGCGAAGGCGGCGCUCUGGAACGUUUCUGACGCUGAGGCUCGAAAGCGUGGGGAGCAAACAGGA
This 709-nucleotide ribosomal RNA is filed under the name uncultured Nitrospirota bacterium. RNAcentral's name for it is "bacterial SSU rRNA". It matches the Rfam family "Bacterial small subunit ribosomal RNA", at positions 76 to 777 of the family's 1533-position model. The record is from RNAcentral. Lineage: Bacteria; Pseudomonadati; Nitrospirota.